GACAGAGGUGCCGAGCGUUAGGCGGAAUCACUGGGCUUAAAGCGUGUGUAGGCGGGCGUGCAAGUACCUUGUGAAAUCCCACGGCUCAACCGUGGAACGGCUGGGUAUACUGCUUGCCUUGAGCCAACUAGGGGCGAGCGGAACAAGUGGUGGAGCGGUGAAAUGCGUAGAUAUCACUUGGAACGCCGAAGGUGAAAACAGCUCGCUGGGGUUGUGCUGACGCUGAGACACGAAAGCCAGGGGAGCGAACGGG
This 253-nucleotide ribosomal RNA is filed under the name uncultured bacterium. RNAcentral's name for it is "partial 16S ribosomal RNA". It matches the Rfam family "Bacterial small subunit ribosomal RNA", at positions 524 to 776 of the family's 1533-position model. The record is from RNAcentral.